RNAcentral lists this small RNA (72 nucleotides) under Allorhizobium ampelinum S4. RNAcentral describes it as "Agrobacterium vitis S4 suhB". Lineage: Bacteria; Pseudomonadati; Pseudomonadota; Alphaproteobacteria; Hyphomicrobiales; Rhizobiaceae. The record is from RNAcentral.
GAAGAAGUCCCCUCGACUUCGGGAAUUGCUUUAGCGCCGCGCCUCAAAACGCGGCGCUUUUUUUUGCCCAAU